GCCCCCGUAGCUCAAUUGGAUAGAGUGAUUGGCUUCGAACCAAUAGGUUGCACGUUCGAAUCGUGCCGGGGGCA
RNAcentral lists this transfer RNA (74 nucleotides) under Patescibacteria group bacterium. RNAcentral describes it as "tRNA-Arg". It matches the Rfam family "tRNA". Rfam says of the family: Transfer RNA (tRNA) molecules are approximately 80 nucleotides in length. Their secondary structure includes four short double-helical elements and three loops (D, anti-codon, and T loops). RNAcentral also lists the same sequence under 1 other name. The record is from RNAcentral.